Long non-coding RNA from Talpa occidentalis (Iberian mole), 396 nucleotides. RefSeq lists it as uncharacterized. Lineage: Eukaryota; Metazoa; Chordata; Mammalia; Eulipotyphla; Talpidae. The record is from RefSeq and is a predicted model, not a curated record. The transcript has 3 exons.
GGGGAAGUCCUGGAGCGUGGACUCCGGGACUGCUCCAAAGGAUGGCGGACGCUAGGAUUUGUUAUUUGGAAACCUCAAAGAAUGGCGCGAGGAGAGAUUUCUUCCUGAGAUUUGGGGGAAAGCUACGGGUACGAGAUCUUGGGCUCAGCUCAUCUCGUCUCUUCCCGGAGGGCGCGUUGCGACCCAAGGGGAUUCUAUGCCCUUCCUGGGCCUCAGUUUCUCGCCUAAAAUAAGGACUAAUCUUCCUAAACGCCCAGGCAGUUACAUUGCAUUGCAAUGGGAAGUCCAUGCUCUGGAAAUUGCCAGUGAAGUCAGAAGCGCGGGAGGGCGAGAGAAUUCACCAGAGCCAGAGCAGGGAGCAGAGCAGGCAGAAGGACCGAAGUACACUGCUGAGGG